This 302-nucleotide ribosomal RNA is filed under the name uncultured bacterium. RNAcentral's name for it is "partial 16S ribosomal RNA". It matches the Rfam family "Bacterial small subunit ribosomal RNA", at positions 508 to 807 of the family's 1533-position model. The record is from RNAcentral.
GCAGCAGCCGCGGGAAUACGGAGGGGGCUAGCGUUGUUCGGAAUUACUGGGCGUAAAGCGUACGUAGGCGGCUUUGUAAGUUAGAGGUGAAAGCCUGGUGCUCAACACCAGAACUGCCUUUAAGACUGCAUCGCUUGAACGUCGGAGAGGUGAGUGGAAUUCCGAGUGUAGAGGUGAAAUUCGUAGAUAUUCGGAAGAACACCAGUGGCGAAGGCGGCUCACUGGACGACUGUUGACGCUGAGGUACGAAAGCGUGGGGAGCAAACAGGAUUAGAUACCCCGGUAGUCCCUGUCUCUUAUAC